RNAcentral lists this ribosomal RNA (392 nucleotides) under uncultured bacterium. Its description in RNAcentral is "partial 16S ribosomal RNA". It matches the Rfam family "Bacterial small subunit ribosomal RNA", at positions 523 to 918 of the family's 1533-position model. The record is from RNAcentral.
AUACGGAAGGUCCGGGCGUUAUCCGGAUUUAUUGGGUUUAAAGGGAGCGCAGGCGGAGAUGCAAGCGUGACGUCAAAUUUCGGGGCUCAACCCCGUCUCGCGUCGCGAACUGCGUCCCUUGGUUGCGGGAAGGGGAGGCGGGAAUCGGGGGGUAGCGGGGAAAUGCAUAGAUAUCACGAAGAACUCCGAUCGCGGAGGCAGCCUUCCGGCCGUCAACGACGCUCAUGCUCGAAGGUGCGGGUAUCAAACAGGAUUAGAUGCCCUGGUAGUCCGCACAGUAGACGAUGGACACCCGCGGUUUGGCCUGUAUGGCUGAGCCGCCAAGCGAAAGCGUUAAGUGUCCCACCUGGGGAGAACGCCGGCAACGGUGAAACUCAAAUGAAUUGGCGGGG